RNAcentral lists this ribosomal RNA (252 nucleotides) under uncultured bacterium. RNAcentral's name for it is "partial 16S ribosomal RNA". It matches the Rfam family "Bacterial small subunit ribosomal RNA", at positions 524 to 776 of the family's 1533-position model. The record is from RNAcentral.
UACGUAGGGGGCUAGCGUUAUCCGGAAUUACUGGGCGUAAAGGGUGCGUAGGUGGUUUCUUAAGUCAGAGGUGAAAGGCUACGGCUCAACCGUAGUAAGCCUUUGAAACUGGGAAACUUGAGUGCAGGAGAGGAGAGUGGAAUUCCUAGUGUAGCGGUGAAAUGCGUAGAUAUUAGGAGGAACACCAGUUGCGAAGGCGGCUCUCUGGACUGUAACUGACUCUGAGGUACGAAAGCGUGGGUAGCAAACAGG